Molecule: long non-coding RNA, 220 nt
Organism: Arabidopsis thaliana (thale cress)
Lineage: Eukaryota; Viridiplantae; Streptophyta; Magnoliopsida; Brassicales; Brassicaceae
Product: other RNA
Exons: 1
Source: RefSeq
GCGUUAUCAUCGAUUAAAAAGCUUUUCAUGUAAAAGUAGUAUCAUGAACCAACCAUCUCUACAUCGAGUUUUAUUGAAAUUAACUUUGAUAUUUUUAAAGUCGAAUAUCACAUUGUUUUGCAAAUCAUUACAUCGAACAAGCUUGUUCAAUGGCUGAAACAGUUUGCUUCACAUCCACUCCCAUAUUGCAGAUAUUGGCAAGCGCUCCUGUAUACUUCAA